UCUCUUUCUAUUUUUCUUUUUUUUCCAUUCCCUUGAUUACCUUUUGUCCCCUCCAAACUGCAAACGCUUUUUCUGUCUUCUUCACAGAGCCACAAAAACACUGGUCUCCAAGCCACAAAAUAGACACUCUCUUCGUGUUCUUCAUAGAGCCACCUUCAUCAUCGUUGUAGCAUUCUCCUGCUUUUUGAGAUUUUCCUCGAUGAUCUCCUCCACUGAAACUCCAUCAUAAAUGUCACCUUCUUCUACGUCUUCGACCUUAGUCUCAUCCUUCUCCAUCUCACUUAGGGUUUCCUCAAUGAGUUGUUCUAUGUGUCCACCUACACAGCACACCUGACGUGGAUUAUUUAUUCUUUUAUAUUUUUUUCUGAUGUAAGUAAAACGUGGGGUGUAGGUCUCAAAAUCAUUUUGAAAUUCCUUCAGCUCCCCCCAACCCCCGCAAGCGCUCCAGCGUUCCUUUGUGCUCCACUGCGUCCUCCACUAUGUUCUCUCUUUGACCGCCGACGACAGCUCCCUCUCUUGUCACCAACCUUUAUUAACACUUACAGAUUGACAAUGCUCUCAAAUCUCUCUCAAGAUUGCAGAAAGAGGAUAGGAUCAAGAGGCGAGCACAACAAAUAUUAGUAUUUGGGGCUUGAGAAAACAAUGGCCAGACUCAAACAAACCUAAAAGAGAUUCGUUUUUCCCUGGUUUUCUUUGCAACCAAACAAAAGGGUGUGACCAUAUUGAUGCGAUGUAAUUCCAUAGAGAUAGGUGCUUAAUUCGGAAAAUGUAUGAAAUUUUAAUUAUUAGUCUGGACAAUUAUUAGCGUGCAAUGUUAUUGACUGAACUUGGACUUAUUUUUUGGCAGCAUCGUGUGACUAGACCAACAACAGCUAAUUUUUUGGCAGCUUCGUGUGACUGGACUUGGGACUUAUUUUUUGAUAGCUGGUGUACAUGCCAGUUUCCAAACAUGUUGUGGAGACCCUAUUUGUGGACAUAAAUAUUGGUAGUUUGUAUAGAUAAACAUUGUAGAUUGUGUAGAUGCUGUUUGUGUCCAGUUGUGUAUAUAAAUGUUGUGAAUUGUGUCCAGGUGUAUGUGUAGGUGGUUUUGUGUCCAAUUAUGUAUGGAUUUUGUGUAUGGGCAGUGUGCUGUGAGAUGUAUAGCUUGUGAUUCCAAAACAGGAAUGAGAGUACAUGUUGUAUAGCUUACCAUACAAAAUUUAUAAAUGAAAUCAAUCAUGCUUCAAUGUCA
Molecule: long non-coding RNA, 1231 nt
Organism: Carya illinoinensis
Lineage: Eukaryota; Viridiplantae; Streptophyta; Magnoliopsida; Fagales; Juglandaceae
Exons: 3
Source: RefSeq, a predicted model, not a curated record